UCCAUUUUCAAUAACAAACAAAAAAAUAUUAAUUAUCCCUUUCAAUGCUCUCUCUUUCUCUCUCUCUCUCUAUGUAAAUGUGUAUGUGUAGGUGAGGAGAUGUAACAGCCUUCCGAGGAUGUAUUAACUAGUGUGUAAUGGAUGAAGAGGNCUCUAUGUAAAUGUGUAUGUGUAGGUGAGGAGAUGUAACAGCCUUCCGAGGAUGUAUUAACUAGUGUGUAAUGGAUGAAGAGGCCGCCCUUUCACCCUAUUUUUCUCCCACUUUUCAGUUACAAAACCGCCCUUUGCUUUUAUAUACACAUACAAUAGAUACAUAUUUGUCUGUAUAUGUAUUGGAUGUACAAUUAUAUACACAU
Molecule: long non-coding RNA, 356 nt
Filed under: Olea europaea (common olive)
Lineage: Eukaryota; Viridiplantae; Streptophyta; Magnoliopsida; Lamiales; Oleaceae
Description: long non-coding RNA (OEUR_LNC001382)
Source: RNAcentral